RNAcentral lists this ribosomal RNA (1352 nucleotides) under Enterobacteriaceae bacterium secondary endosymbiont of Mycopsylla fici. Its description in RNAcentral is "bacterial LSU rRNA". It matches the Rfam family "Bacterial large subunit ribosomal RNA", at positions 1597 to 2925 of the family's 2925-position model. The record is from RNAcentral. Lineage: Bacteria; Pseudomonadati; Pseudomonadota; Gammaproteobacteria; Enterobacterales; Enterobacteriaceae.
AUGCUAUACUUCCAAGAAAAGCCUCUAAGCAUCAGGUUAUAUACUAAUCGUACCCCAAACCGACACAGGUGGUUAGGUAGAGAAUACUAAGGCGCUUGAGAGAACUCGGGUAAAGGAACUAGGCAAAAUAGUGCCGUAACUUCGGGAGAAGGCACGCUAACAUAUUAGUGAAAAAUAUACGUUUUAGCUAAAGUUAGCCGAAGAUACCAGCUGGCUGCAACUGUUUAUUAAAAACACAGCACUGUGCAAACACGAAAGUGGACGUAUACGGUGUGACGCCUGCCCGGUGCCGGAAGGUUAAAUGAUAUUGUUAUCUUUUAUAGAAAAGCUAUUGAUUGAAGCCCCGGUAAACGGCGGCCGUAACUAUAACGGUCCUAAGGUAGCGAAAUUCCUUGUCGGGUAAGUUCCGACCUGCACGAAUGGCGUAAUGAUGGCCAGGCUGUCUCUACCCGAGACUCAGUGAAAUUGAAAUCGCUGUGAAGAUGCGGUGUACCCGCGGCAAGACGGAAAGACCCCGUGAACCUUUACUAUAGCUUGAUAUUGAAUAUUAAAUAUUAAUGUGUAGGAUAGGUGGGAGGCUAAGAAAUAUUAACGCUAGUUGAUAUAGAGCCUAUCUUGAAAUACCACCCUUUAAUAUUUGAUAUUCUAACUUAGAUUCUUAAUCAGGGUCAAAGACAGUAUCUGGUGGGUAGUUUGACUGGGGCGGUCUCCUCCUAAAAAGUAACGGAGGAGCACAAAGGUUAGCUAAUCACGGUCGGACAUCGUGAGUUUAGUGUAAAGGCAUAAGCUAGCUUAACUGCGAGAAUGACAAUUCGAGCAGAUGCGAAAGCAGGUCUUAGUGAUCCGGUGGUUCUGUAUGGAAAGGCCAUCGCUCAACGAAUAAAAGGUACUCCGGGGAUAACAGGCUAAUACCGCCCAAGAGUUCAUAUCGACGGCGGUGUUUGGCACCUCGAUGUCGGCUCAUCACAUCCUGGGGCUGAAGUAGGUCCCAAGGGUAUGGCUGUUCGCCAUUUAAAGUGGUACGCGAGCUGGGUUUAGAACGUCGUAAGACAGUUCGGUCCCUAUCUGCCGUGGGCGUUGGAAGAUUGAGAGGGGCUGCUCCUAGUACGAGAGGACCGGAGUGGAUGUACCUCUGGUGUUCGGGUUGUCAUGCCAAUGGCAUUGCCCGGUAGCUAUGUACAGAAAAGAUAACCGCUGAAAGCAUAUAAGUGGGAAACUUGCCUCAAGAUUAGUCUUCCCAGAAGCAAAAGCUUCCUAAAGGGUUGUUAAAGACUAUAACGUUGAUAGGUCGGGUGUGUAAGCAUUGUAAAAUGUUGAGCUAACCGAUACUAAUUACCCGUGAGGCUUAACCU